RNAcentral lists this ribosomal RNA (579 nucleotides) under uncultured bacterium. RNAcentral's name for it is "bacterial SSU rRNA". It matches the Rfam family "Bacterial small subunit ribosomal RNA", at positions 102 to 694 of the family's 1533-position model. The record is from RNAcentral.
AAGGGGCAGUAAUGCGUGGGUAACCUACCCUGGGAUUUGGGAUAGCCCGUCGAGAGACGGGGUAAUACCGAGCGAUGUCGUGUUGGGGCAUCCUGAUGCGACCAAAGUUCCGGCGUCCUGGGAGGGGCCCACGUGAUAUUAGCUAGUUGGUGAGGUAACGGCUCACCAAGGCGAAGAUGUCUAGCGGGUGUGAGAGCACGACCCGCGCCACUGGCACUGAGACACUGGCCAGACACCUACGGGUGGCUGCAGUCGAGGAUCUUCGGCAAUGGGCGCAAGCCUGACCGAGCGACGCCGCGUGGGCGAUGAAGGCCUUCGGGUUGUAAAGCCCUGUCGAGGGGGAGAAAACGCAAGUUGAUCUAUCCCUGGAGGAAGCACGGGCUAAGUUCGUGCCAGCAGCCGCGGUAAGACGAACCGUGCGAACGUUGUUCGGAAUCACUGGGCUUAAAGGGCGCGUAGGCGGGCCACCAAGUCCGCGGUGAAAUCCUCCGGCUUAACCGGAGAAGUGCCGCGGAUACUGGGGGCCUCGAGGCGGGUAGGGGCGUGCGGAACUCUGAGUGGAGCGGUGAAAUGCGUUGA